Molecule: long non-coding RNA, 406 nt
Filed under: Lathyrus oleraceus (garden pea)
Lineage: Eukaryota; Viridiplantae; Streptophyta; Magnoliopsida; Fabales; Fabaceae
Description: Pisum sativum (pea) long non-coding RNA (PSAT_LNC041488)
Source: RNAcentral
UUUCUUGAGCACAAGGUCACCUUCUCGGAACACGCGAGGCUUGACCUUCUUGUCGAAUGUUUUCUUCAUUCUCUGCUGAUAUAACUGACCAUGGCACAUGGCAGUUAAUCUCUUCUCUUCGAUCAAAUUCAACUGGUCAUAACGACUCUGAAUCCAUUCAGCAUCAGUCAACUAGGGACUUGAGGGUAUACUUUUUUUCUUUUUUCCCUUGGAAAAAUCUUGAAAAAAUUUUCCUGGUUUUUUGAUUUCUUCUUCUUUUUUCACCCUCUUUUUUCUUCUUUUUUUUUCGAUUUUUUUUUUCUUUUUUUUUAAUCCCCAGUUUGACUGUUUAGCUGAUUCUCAUGAUACAGCUGAAUGAGCUUCUUUGGUGCUCAAGAAGGCGGGUAAUCUCGUCAGGAAUCCCCUU